Molecule: ribosomal RNA, 443 nt
Filed under: uncultured bacterium
Lineage: Bacteria
Description: partial 16S ribosomal RNA
Rfam family: Bacterial small subunit ribosomal RNA
Source: RNAcentral
UAGGGAAUCUUCCACAAUGGACGCAAGUCUGAUGGAGCAACGCCGCGUGAGUGAAGAAGGUUUUCGGACCGUAAAGCUCUGUUGUUGGUGAAGAAGGAUAGAGGUAGUAACUGGCCUUUAUUUGACGGUAAUCAACCAGAAAGUCACGGCUAACUACGUGCCAGCAGCCGCGGUAAUACGUAGGUGGCAAGCGUUGUCCGGAUUUAUUGGGCGUAAAGCGAGCGCAGGCGGAAGAAUAAGUCUGAUGUGAAAGCCCUCGGCUUAACCGAGGAAUUGCAUCGGAAACUGUUUUCUUGAGUGCAGAAGAGGAGAGUAGAACUCCAUGUGUAGCGGUGGAAUGCGUAGAUAUAUGGAAGAAUACCAGUGGCGAAGGCGGCUCUCUGGUCUGCAACUGACGCUGAGGCUCGAAAGCAUGGGUAACGAACAGGAUUAGAUACCCUGGU